GGCAAAGAACACCCCUGAAUUUCUUACAAACAAUAGAGUGCACUGGGUCAUUAUCAGGAUGGAGUGGUCAAAAGCUGAACCCAAGGAAGCUGUUGAUCAUGGGAGCCUGUUGAUGGGCUCAUAAAGACCAAGGUCCAGGAGCACAGAGCAGGUUUCUGUGCCCGGUUUCUAUCAGCUGAUGUAGCUAAGGAUGUAUCCUAGAUGGAGUAGGGAAGAAAGGACAUUGAGGAAGAGUUCGG
Molecule: long non-coding RNA, 239 nt
Organism: Eubalaena glacialis (North Atlantic right whale)
Lineage: Eukaryota; Metazoa; Chordata; Mammalia; Artiodactyla; Balaenidae
Exons: 3
Source: RefSeq, a predicted model, not a curated record